UGGGGAAUAUUGCACAAUGGGCGCAGGCCUGAUGCAGCCAUGCCGCGUGUAUGAAGAAGGCCUUCGGGUUGUAAAGUACUUUCAGCGGGGAGGAAGGGAGUAAAGUUAAUACCUUUGCUCAUUGACGUUACCCGCAGAAGAAGCACCGGCUAACUCCGUGCCAGCAGCCGCGGUAAUACGGAGGGUGCAAGCGUUAAUCGGAAUUACUGGGCGUAAAGCGCACGCAGGCGGUUUGUUAAGUCAGAUGUGAAAUCCCCGGGCUCAACCUGGGAACUGCAUCUGAUACUGGCAAGCUUGAGUCUCGUAGAGGGGGGUAGAAUUCCAGGUGUAGCGGUGAAAUGCGUAGAGAUCUGGAGGAAUACCGGUGGCGAAGGCGGCCCCCUGGACAAAGACUGACGCUCAGGUGCGAAAGCGUGGGGAGCAAACAGG
RNAcentral lists this ribosomal RNA (429 nucleotides) under Chloroflexota bacterium. RNAcentral describes it as "Chloroflexi bacterium partial 16S ribosomal RNA". It matches the Rfam family "Bacterial small subunit ribosomal RNA", at positions 355 to 776 of the family's 1533-position model. Lineage: Bacteria; Bacillati; Chloroflexota. The record is from RNAcentral.